Molecule: long non-coding RNA, 127 nt
Organism: Amphimedon queenslandica
Lineage: Eukaryota; Metazoa; Porifera; Demospongiae; Haplosclerida; Niphatidae
Exons: 3
Source: RefSeq, a predicted model, not a curated record
AAGAAAAGGUUAAAGAAGCUGAAUGUAGACUAAGAGAUGCUAUCAGUAGCAAAGAGAAAGAAACAAUUGAAUUAAAGCAAGGUCUAUUAGUGAUGGUAUUACCUGAGGAAGAGUCACUGUCUGUUCA